GAUGAAGAACGCAGCGAAAUGCGAUAAGUAAUGUGAAUUGCAGAAUUCAGUGAAUCAUCGAAUCUUUGAACGCACAUUGCGCCCGCCAGUAUUCUGGCGGGCAUGCCUGUCUGAGCGUCAUUUCAACCCUCAUGCCCCUAGGGCGUGGUGUUGGGGAUCGGCCAAAGCCCGCAAGGGACGGCCGGCCCCUAAAUCUAGUGGCGGACCCGUCGUGGCCUCCCCUGCGAAGUAGUGAUAUUCCGCAUAGGAGAAGCGACGAGCCCCUGCCGUUAAACCCCCAACUUUCUCAGGUUGACCUCCGCUCAGGUAGGAAUACCCGCUGAACUUAAGCAUAUCAAUAAGCGGAGGA
This 349-nucleotide unclassified non-coding RNA is filed under the name soil metagenome. Its description in RNAcentral is "partial contains 5.8S ribosomal RNA, internal transcribed spacer 2, and large subunit ribosomal RNA". The stretch from base 1 to 120 matches the Rfam family "5.8S ribosomal RNA", at positions 35 to 154 of the family's 154-position model. The record is from RNAcentral.